RNAcentral lists this ribosomal RNA (246 nucleotides) under Prevotella pallens. RNAcentral's name for it is "partial 16S ribosomal RNA". It matches the Rfam family "Bacterial small subunit ribosomal RNA", at positions 1 to 235 of the family's 1533-position model. The record is from RNAcentral. Lineage: Bacteria; Pseudomonadati; Bacteroidota; Bacteroidia; Bacteroidales; Prevotellaceae.
UUUACAAUGGAGAGUUUGAUCCUGGCUCAGGAUGAACGCUAGCUACAGGCUUAACACAUGCAAGUCGAGGGGAAACGACAUUGAAGCUUGCUUCGAUGGGCGUCGACCGGCGCACGGGUGAGUAACGCGUAUCCAACCUUCCCAUGACUAAGGGAUAACCUGCCGAAAGGCAGACUAAUACCUUAUGAGGUUUUCUGCAGACAUCUAAUGAAAACGAAAGAUUUAUCGGUCAGUGAUGGGGAUGCG